RNAcentral lists this transfer RNA (70 nucleotides) under Chioglossa lusitanica. Its description in RNAcentral is "tRNA-Gln". The record is from RNAcentral. Lineage: Eukaryota; Metazoa; Chordata; Amphibia; Caudata; Salamandridae.
UAAAAAAAUAGGGUUUGAACCUAUCCUAAGGAGAUCAAAACUCCCCGUGCACCCUCUACACCAUUUUUUA